GGUUAAGCGACUAAGCGUACACGGUGGAUGCCCUGGCAGUCAGAGGCGAUGAAGGACGUGCUAAUCUGCGAAAAGCGUCGGUAAGGUGAUAUGAACCGUUAUAACCGGCGAUGUCCGAAUGGGGAAACCCAGUGUGUUCCGACACACUAUCAUUAACUGAAUCCAUAGGUUAAUGAGGCGAACCGGGGGAACUGAAACAUCUAAGUACCCCGAGGAAAAGAAAUCAACCGAGAUUCCCCCAGUAGCGGCGAGCGAACGGGGAGGAGCCCAGAGCCUGAAUCAGUGUGUGUGUUAGUGGAAGCGUCUGGAAAGGCGCGCGAUACAGGGUGACAGCCCCGUACACAAAAAUGCACAUGCUGUGAGCUCGAUGAGUAGGGCGGGACACGUGGUAUCCUGUCUGAAUAUGGGGGGACCAUCCUCCAAGGCUAAAUACUCCUGACUGACCGAUAGUGAACCAGUACCGUGAGGGAAAGGCGAAAAGAACCCCGGCGAGGGGAGUGAAAAAGAACCUGAAACCGUGUACGUACAAGCAGUGGGAGCCUCUUAAUGGGGUGACUGCGUACCUUUUGUAUAAUGGGUCAGCGACUUAUAUUCUGUAGCAAGGUUAACCGAAUAGGGGAGCCGGAGGGAAACCGAGUCUUAACUGGGCGUUAAGUUGCAGGGUAUAGACCCGAAACCCGGUGAUCUAGCCAUGGGCAGGUUGAAGGUUGGGUAACACUAACUGGAGGACCGAACCGACUAAUGUUGAAAAAUUAGCGGAUGACUUGUGGCUGGGGGUGAAAGGCCAAUCAAACCGGGAGAUAGCUGGUUCUCCCCGAAAGCUAUUUAGGUAGCGCCUCGUGAAUUCAUCUCCGGGGGUAGAGCACUGUUUCGGCAAGGGGGUCAUCCCGACUUACCAACCCGAUGCAAACUGCGAAUACCGGAGAAUGUUAUCACGGGAGACACACGGCGGGUGCUAACGUCCGUCGUGAAGAGGGAAACAACCCAGACCGCCAGCUAAGGUCCCAAAGUCAUGGUUAAGUGGGAAACGAUGUGGGAAGGCCCAGACAGCCAGGAUGUUGGCUUAGAAGCAGCCAUCAUUUAAAGAAAGCGUAAUAGCUCACUGGUCGAGUCGGCCUGCGCGGAAGAUGUAACGGGGCUAAACCAUGCACCGAAGCUGCGGCAGCGACGCUGAUGCGUUGUUGGGUAGGGGAGCGUUCUGUAAGCCUGUGAAGGUGUGCUGUGAGGCAUGCUGGAGGUAUCAGAAGUGCGAAUGCUGACAUAAGUAACGAUAAAGCGGGUGAAAAGCCCGCUCGCCGGAAGACCAAGGGUUCCUGUCCAACGUUAAUCGGGGCAGGGUGAGUCGACCCCUAAGGCGAGGCCGAAAGGCGUAGUCGAUGGGAAACAGGUUAAUAUUCCUGUACUUGGUGUUACUGCGAAGGGGGGACGGAGAAGGCUAUGUUGGCCGGGCGACGGUUGUCCCGGUUUAAGCGUGUAGGCUGGUUUUCCAGGCAAAUCCGGAGAAUCAAGGCUGAGGCGUGAUGACGAGGCACUACGGUGCUGAAGCAACAAAUGCCCUGCUUCCAGGAAAAGCCUCUAAGCAUCAGGUAGCAUCAAAUCGUACCCCAAACCGACACAGGUGGUCAGGUAGAGAAUACCAAGGCGCUUGAGAGAACUCGGGUGAAGGAACUAGGCAAAAUGGUGCCGUAACUUCGGGAGAAGGCACGCUGAUAUGUAGGUGAAGCGACUUGCUCGUGGAGCUGAAAUCAGUCGAAGAUACCAGCUGGCUGCAACUGUUUAUUAAAAACACAGCACUGUGCAAACACGAAAGUGGACGUAUACGGUGUGACGCCUGCCCGGUGCCGGAAGGUUAAUUGAUGGGGUCAGCGCAAGCGAAGCUCUUGAUCGAAGCCCCGGUAAACGGCGGCCGUAACUAUAACGGUCCUAAGGUAGCGAAAUUCCUUGUCGGGUAAGUUCCGACCUGCACGAAUGGCGUAAUGAUGGCCAGGCUGUCUCCACCCGAGACUCAGUGAAAUUGAACUCGCUGUGAAGAUGCAGUGUACCCGCGGCAAGACGGAAAGACCCCGUGAACCUUUACUAUAGCUUGACACUGAACACUGGUCCUUGAUGUGUAGGAUAGGUGGGAGGCUUUGAAGUGUGGACGCCAGUCUGCAUGGAGCCGUCCUUGAAAUACCACCCUUUAAUGGCUGGUGUUCUAACGUUGGCCCCUUACCGGGGUUGCGGACAGUGUCUGGUGGGUAGUUUGACUGGGGCGGUCUCCUCCUAAAGAGUAACGGAGGAGCACGAAGGUUGGCUAAUCCUGGUCGGACAUCAGGAGGUUAGUGCAAUGGCAUAAGCCAGCUUGACUGCGAGCGUGACGGCGCGAGCAGGUGCGAAAGCAGGUCAUAGUGAUCCGGUGGUUCUGAAUGGAAGGGCCAUCGCUCAACGGAUAAAAGGUACUCCGGGGAUAACAGGCUGAUACCGCCCAAGAGUUCAUAUCGACGGCGGUGUUUGGCACCUCGAUGUCGGCUCAUCACAUCCUGGGGCUGAAGUAGGUCCCAAGGGUAUGGCUGUUCGCCAUUUAAAGUGGUACGCGAGCUGGGUUUAGAACGUCGUGAGACAGUUCGGUCCCUAUCUGCCGUGGGCGCUGGAGAACUGAGGGGGGCUGCUCCUAGUACGAGAGGACCGGAGUGGACGCAUCACUGGUGUUCGGGUUGUCAUGCCAAUGGCACUGCCCGGUAGCUAAAUGCGGAAGAGAUAAGUGCUGAAAGCAUCUAAGCACGAAACUUGCCCCGAGAUGAGUUCUCCCUGAGACUUAGAGUCUCCUGAAGGAACGUUGAAGACGACGACGUUGAUAGGCCGGGUGUGUAAGCGCAGCGAUGCGUUGAGCUAACCGGUACUAAUGAACCGUGAGGCUUAACCUU
This 2903-nucleotide ribosomal RNA is filed under the name Escherichia albertii. RNAcentral describes it as "23S ribosomal RNA". It matches the Rfam family "Bacterial large subunit ribosomal RNA". The record is from RNAcentral. Lineage: Bacteria; Pseudomonadati; Pseudomonadota; Gammaproteobacteria; Enterobacterales; Enterobacteriaceae.